Molecule: transfer RNA, 69 nt
Filed under: Tapirus terrestris (Brazilian tapir)
Lineage: Eukaryota; Metazoa; Chordata; Mammalia; Perissodactyla; Tapiridae
Also listed under: 2 other names
Description: transfer RNA-Gly
Rfam family: tRNA
About the family: Transfer RNA (tRNA) molecules are approximately 80 nucleotides in length. Their secondary structure includes four short double-helical elements and three loops (D, anti-codon, and T loops). Further hydrogen bonds mediate the characteristic L-shaped molecular structure. tRNAs have two regions of fundamental functional importance: the anti-codon, which is responsible for specific mRNA codon recognition, and the 3' end, to which the tRNAs corresponding amino acid is attached (by aminoacyl-tRNA synthetases). tRNAs cope with the degeneracy of the genetic code in two manners: having more than one tRNA (with a specific anti-codon) for a particular amino acid; and 'wobble' base-pairing, i.e. permitting non-standard base-pairing at the 3rd anti-codon position.
Source: RNAcentral
AUUCUCUUAGUACCAAAUAGUACAAUUGACUUCCAAUCAAUUAGUUUCGGUAUAAUCCGAAAGAGAAUA